CACAUUAACAGAUAGACACAAGCCAGCUGUGUGAGGUGAUUUAUGGAGAACUUUUUCCACAUUUCAGUGCCAGUGUUGAUUGGAAAAUAUCAGAACAAUAAACAAAUUUUACUGUCAAAGUUACAAAACACCUUCCUCAUUCGUGCUGCUCUACCAUUUCACAUCCAUGACAAACUUGAAGUAAAACCGACUAAGCUGAGAUUAGUGACUUUUUUUGUCCAAAAUGGAUCUGACAUUAAGUUUGUUGCUUCCAGCUGUUUUUAGGAGUUAAAUAACAGCAGCAGGAUCCAUAUGAGCGAUUCCAAAGCAGAAAGCUGCAUUCAUUUGUGGGCGUGGAACAACGAAACAACAGUGCAGGAUCGGAACUGUGACAGAGUUUCUGCACUUGGGCUGUUGCCGUGGGAACAGCACAUCCGCAAGCUUCAGAGCUCAUCGAUGCACAAUGAGGGACGUCUGCAGAGAAUGAGAAAGAGUCUCACCACAUCCUGACAUGAGGAAAAAGACUUUAUUGAAGACUACAAUGAGAAAAACUAUCAGACAGCAGACGGCUGCAUUCAAGCUGAGCUCUGAACAUUUGAUCUGGAACAGGAAUUCAAUAACGGCAGCAUGAGCUUCAUUUCAGUCUGUAGCUGCUGAAUUCAUGGAUGAAUCAUCUGGCACUAGAGAAGAAGACCAUCAAACAUCCAUGUCAGCUGAUGGAGGUCCAAGAGUCUCACCAAACAAACAACCUACAGAGUGAAGACCUUGAAUCUGAUUGGACGGCCUCCUAUUCAGCCACGUUUUAGGCUGUUAGAUUGUUCCAGAUAAGACAAGUACAAGAUUCUUCAGAGCUGUUCUACCACGAGCCUGACAGGAAGAACUCCAACAGUUACUGAAUGUUCCUGUGGUCCCCUCAAGGCUACAGGAGGAGCCCUACGAGGACGAGCUGGUCCACCUGAUGGCAGCCAGUCGCUGUGGUUCAAAGCCAACAGCGACUACGUGGACUUCUACUGGACCACAUGGAGACCUUCAAACCGGACCAACAAGUUCAGCGACUCCCCGACUCGUGGGUCUGAGGACGCCGCCGAGCCUCGGUCCAGCCGGCCUCCUGUCUGUGGAUGUUUGAGUGCUGAGAGGAUUACCACAGACCUGACCGUGAACAUCGUUGACACCCACCUGAGGGAGACGCUGCCUAAGAUCUCAAGGCUGCUUUGUCGUGGUCUUUCUGGUCCUGCUCCAGAACGCCUUCAUCAACUACGUCUUCUUUUGAAGAGGCCCUCAGAUGCUGCAAUCUCUGACCUUAAGGAGGAAUUGCUGCUUUCACUCUGUAACGAGACGGCGGUUAUUUUAAAGACCCAGCUCCUGUUGGCUUUGAAAGAAAGUUUAAUACCCA
Molecule: long non-coding RNA, 1372 nt
Organism: Amphiprion ocellaris (clown anemonefish)
Lineage: Eukaryota; Metazoa; Chordata; Actinopteri; Pomacentridae
Source: Ensembl